This 264-nucleotide small RNA is filed under the name Acidovorax carolinensis. RNAcentral's name for it is "Acidovorax sp. NA3 5' ureB small RNA". It matches the Rfam family "5' ureB small RNA". Lineage: Bacteria; Pseudomonadati; Pseudomonadota; Betaproteobacteria; Burkholderiales; Comamonadaceae. The record is from Rfam by way of RNAcentral.
CUGCUGUGGGCAGAUGAAGUGGAUGUGGCUGUCGAUGCCGCCCGCGGUGACGAUGUUGCCCUCGCAGCUGAUGACCUCGGUGCCGGGGCCGAUGAUGAUGUCCACGCCCGGUUGCGUGUCGGGGUUGCCGGCCUUGCCGAUGGAGGCGAUGCGGCCCGCGCGCAGGCCGAUGUCGGCCUUGAAGAUGCCGGUGUGGUCUACCACCAGGGCGUUGGUCAGCACUGUGUCCACCGCGCCGCCACCGGAGGGGCCUGUUCCAGUCCC